This 488-nucleotide ribosomal RNA is filed under the name uncultured bacterium. RNAcentral describes it as "partial 16S ribosomal RNA". It matches the Rfam family "Bacterial small subunit ribosomal RNA", at positions 30 to 507 of the family's 1533-position model. The record is from RNAcentral.
AUUGAACGCUGGCGGCAGGCCUAACACAUGCAAGUCGAACGGUAGCACAGAGAGCUUGCUCUCGGGUGACGAGUGGCGGACGGGUGAGUAAUGUCUGGGAAACUGCCCGAUGGAGGGGGAUAACUACUGGAAACGGUAGCUAAUACCGCAUAAUGUCGCAAGACCAAAGAGGGGGACCUUCGGGCCUCUUGCCAUCGGAUGUGCCCAGAUGGGAUUAGCGAGUUGGUGAGGUAAUGGCUCACCAAGGCGACGAUCCCUAGCUGGUGUGAGAGGAUGACCAGCCACACUGGAACUGAGACACGGUCCAGACUACUACGGGAGGAAGCAGUGGGGAAAAUUGCGCAAUGGGAGCAAGCCUGAUGCAGCCAUGCCGCGUGUAUGAAGAAGGCCUUCGCGUUGUAAAGUACUUUCAGCGGGGAGGAAGGCGAUACGGUUAAUAACCGUAUUGAUUGACGUUACCAGCAGAAGAAGCACCGGCUAACUCCGUG